CGCACAAGCGGCGGAGCAUGCGGAUUAAUUCGAUGCAACGCGAAGAACCUUACCAAGGCUUGACAUAUACUGGACCGCCUCAGAGAUGGGGUUUCCCUUCGGGGCUGGUAUACAGGUGGUGCAUGGUUGUCGUCAGCUCGUGUCGUGAGAUGUUGGGUUAAGUCCCGCAACGAGCGCAACCCUCGUUCUAUGUUGCCAGCACGUUAUGGUGGGGACUCAUAGGAGACUGCCGGGGUCAACUCGGAGGAAGGUGGGGAUGACGUCAAAUCAUCAUGCCCCUUAUGUCUUGGGCUUCACGCAUGCUACAAUGGCCGGUACAAAGGGUUGCGAUACUGUGAGGUUGAGCUAAUCCCAAAAAGCCGGUCUCAGUUCGGAUUGGGGUCUGCAACUCGACCCCAUGAAGUCGGAGUCGCUAGUAAUCGCAGAUCAGCAACGCUGCGGUGAAUACGUUCCCGGGCCUUGUACACACCGCCCGUCAA
Molecule: ribosomal RNA, 479 nt
Filed under: Rothia sp. NQ38
Lineage: Bacteria; Bacillati; Actinomycetota; Actinomycetes; Micrococcales; Micrococcaceae
Description: bacterial SSU rRNA
Rfam family: Bacterial small subunit ribosomal RNA
Source: RNAcentral